Non-coding RNA from Danio rerio (zebrafish), 2148 nucleotides. Lineage: Eukaryota; Metazoa; Chordata; Actinopteri; Cypriniformes; Danionidae. The record is from RefSeq and is a predicted model, not a curated record.
UCUAAUUAAAUCUAUUCUAACUUAUAUCUUAUUUCUACCUGUAAAAGUAGCAGAGGGUGCACUCACAGAAAUGAUUCAUGGCAGAGUUAGUUUUUAUGCAUUUACAUCUAUUUGACUUUAUUUAAAAACUAAUAUUUUUAAAAUCUAUACAUUAAAAGUAAAUAUACUCUAAAAGAUUUAAUCAAUUAUACAAUUUAUUUAAUGCAUUUAGUUAAUAAAUACUAACAUUGUUUGAAUAAUAAGAGUUAUAAAACAAACAAGAUUCUGUUAUUUAAAGUUUAUGUGAUUGGUUUUCAUCAAAGUUAUGAAAAAAAUCAAUUUGGAAACAGGAAAUGACAUCAUUUUUGCUGGACACAAGCCCUCGGGAUAUUGUGGGAAUCCGUCACACACAUGUUGAAACGUAACUGGUGGUAUUUUCUUAGUUUUCCUCUCACCGUGUUCUCACCUCCACGUGGCAACAUAGAUUUUUAAUGAAGAUGUCAAUGUGAGGCGAGAUUGUGUGAUGAGCUGUCUGAGCAUCUACCUCAAUGAAGACCUGGAACCACUUGGUAAAGAAUAUGUGGUAUGUAUCAGAAUAGUGUGCCAGUAAUUUUUCCAUCUAGAUAAUAUGGAUUGUUCAUGAGAAUGGAAUGGACAUUAGGACACAUUGACCACCAGUAUUUCAACAUUGAGUCCAUUGGGUUGUUUUGAAUAAAAAAAAUCAUGCAAGGUAAAUGGUGGUAGAGCUGUCACUCUGAGGGAAUUAAAUCUGCUUGGUCCAGAGGAACCUGAAGAUGAAGUUGUCUGGGUUCUGGCACCCACAUGCCCCUUCUCCGCCAGAAACAACAAUCCUCGCCUAAACAACAAGGAUGCAUGUUCUGGACUGUCUGCUUACGAACUCAAGCGCCUUGAGAACAUCACGCACAAGGAAGCCUUCUUGUCGUCUCUGAAGAUAUGGCAAGUAUGUGGACAUUUUAGUAAAGGUAAAGGACUAAUAAGCUGUUUUCCAUUUCAUUUGCCCUCUCCCUACCUCAGUUUCCACCCUACUCUCCUCUUAGUCUCUUUUUCUCUCCCUCCUGCUCUUUCACUGUUGUCCCCCACUGUACGGUCCUUCUCUCCUUCUCCUUUCUUUCUUUUGUAUUCACUUGUUAUCUUACAGGUGUAACAUAGAUUUUAAAAAUAUAUAAAAUUAGAUUUUGGUGGGUUCUUGUAUUUUUUUUAACAAUGUAGUUUACAAAAUAUUGUAAUUUCUGUCUUCAUCCAUUAGCACACCUUUUAGUAUAAUUAUGGUUGCUGUUUAUACAGAAAAACAAGGAGAUAAUUAUUCUUCUUUGUCUCGCCCGCUCUCUCUCUCUCUCUCUCUCUCUCUCUCUCAAAAGGUAGUGGAAGAUCUGAGGCAGUCAGUGAAGCCAAAGCCCAAUGUCAAAAGGUUAAUGGCUUCAUUGGAAGAAAAAUCUCUGCAGUCUCCCCGGAAAUCCCUCCGUUCUAAAAUAGAAAACCUCACCCCAAGUGAAGGGUUGACCCAUAAUCAAGACAUUGAAUCCAGAGAGGCAGAGGAAGACAUGGCAGAAAAGACCAUGGGCAUCUACAAAGUACAAUCAAAGGAUCAUGGUCAAGGUGAUGGACGCUUCACUGAUGUCCGUGUUGUGCUGGAAGGUGUGGAGGUUCUCCACAACCUGUAGAGUGUCACUCAUGCAUGGGUUAUGUUAUAUGGCCUGAUCUACGCGCUCAAUUUGAACUACCCUAAAAGCCUGAAGUGUACAUUUGAGGUGUACCAGAAAAUCCUGAUGGACCUGGACUCAACCAAGCUUUCCCCGAAAGUACAGACACUGAAACUGAAAUUGCUCCAGUGGCUAAAAAUAACAACUUAUACAGCCCCUACCCAUUUUUUUUCACAUUGUGCUCCAACCCUGAGAUAUGUUAAAAUGAUUUCCUAGUUCUAUAAUGAUAUGUUAAUUAGCAACUGAAAAUGGAUCUCUGAGUACAGUUUUAUUUUUUAUUUAUUUAUUUUUUUGGGUGUCCAAGCAGUCAUGUGAUGUUCGAGUGUGGCUGUGUAAGUGGGUUCAUAUGGAUGGUUUCCUAAAUGUUGGCUGAUGUUAACUUGGCUCAAUCCAGAGUUUUGUAUAAAAGAUAAAUAUAAAUAAAUCUGGAAUUUUCCAGUUGGUCUAA